GACAAAGAAGGACAGCUGCAGCAGCCAACAUACAAGUCUGCCAAUAUUUUGUACAAAUAGAAGUAGAUGGUUUGUUGCAGCACAGAAAGUUUGUUGUGCACAUGUGGACUGAUGCCAAUGGAACCAAUGGAAUGUCUCUGGGUACACAUUCACUGGGACUGAGGUGAAACAGAGAGAUCUGGCUGGCUCUGUAUGGCUCAACAAACUCAAUCCUGGAGAGUAAGGCUGCUUAUGAAGACAGAAGUUCUGGCUUCUCUGAACUUAAGAAAAUUAAGGUUCUGACAGUAGAAAACCCCAAGUGUUUCCUCACUGCUGUAAUCCACUACAUGAAGACAGGAAUUGCCCAGCACAUGUGUUCAGAACAGAACCCAGAUCUACAGUACUAACUCUGUGGUCUUCACUCUGCAUUUUCUUUUAAUGUAAUUCUGUUUACAAGCAAUAGUGCUACCAAGCUGAAAUCCUCUAUUUUGAGGAAAAAAAAUGUUGGUGCAAGAUUUUGAUCUGAAACACCAUUUAUGUAUAUCA
RNAcentral lists this long non-coding RNA (525 nucleotides) under Anas platyrhynchos platyrhynchos (common mallard). RNAcentral describes it as "lncRNA (ENSAPLG00000021112.1)". The record is from RNAcentral. Lineage: Eukaryota; Metazoa; Chordata; Aves; Anseriformes; Anatidae.